Molecule: long non-coding RNA, 1429 nt
Organism: Talpa occidentalis (Iberian mole)
Lineage: Eukaryota; Metazoa; Chordata; Mammalia; Eulipotyphla; Talpidae
Exons: 5
Source: RefSeq, a predicted model, not a curated record
GACGACAUUGUGAAGAGAAAGGCCAAUGAAUCAGUAAAGCAGUACAAAUCCAUGUUUACUAUUGUAGUAAAACUAAGGAUUCUAAAAUGAACAAAUGCAGAAGUAAUAGCAAAAACACUUCUUCGGCAACGUAAUAAAUGAAUUAGCUAUCAAAAUAUCAUCCGGUAUCAUGGACAAAACACCAUUACACUUAUUUUUCUGUUUUCUUCUUCUUAGUUAUGAAAACAUACUGCAAGUUCUACAAUCUGAUGGCAGGAAAAGCAAGAACUGAAACGUGCCACACAGGAGUGCGGAAGCAAGCAAGCUGCAGUGAGCUGCUGUCUAGCUACGUGGGUCUGGAUUGUGAGAACAGCUGAAGGAAAAGUGAAGUUGGGUUUGUACCUGUGGGAAACAGAUGUCACUGACACUGAGCAGCCAGAAUGAGCGAUGUGUUCACUUAAGCAAAAUGCAAAUGCUGCUUAUGAAGGCAAUGAAACUGCUUACCAGAACAUCCCAAAGAGUUUACUUGGAAUUAAAAGAUCACACAAGCACCUGGAAGAGCCUGACGCAGAGUUAUUUUAAUUGAUGAAAAUCCUGGUUUUGUUAGCAUCCCACAUCUGCAGGUGACUUGGAAACUCAGCUGUGCUUUUACAAGAUGCUCCUUUGAAAAGAAGCACUGCAGGCGAAGUCAUCAGUGGAGCUCACAUUCCAUUGUGUCUGCAUGUUUAAGUGAACUAACCAUCUGCUGACUAUUGGAAAUGAGUCCUCCAAACAUACUUGAAGAGUCAGAGAUCUCAAGGGGAUGAUAUCAUUAGACAAACCACAUCCCAGGGCCUGACCUGAUGAUGUUGAUGGUCUAAAGAGACCAAAGGAAACAAAACAAAAGCAACUGAUUCUUGAAUUAAAUGUACUAUGUGGGUAAGAUUUGCUGAUUCCUCUGAUUCUGACUUCGCCAGAAGAAACAGCCUCAUUGCAACAGUGCCACCUGCUGAAAAAAAGAAACGGUUUUCUGAGUGUUCAAGUCCUGAGACAGGGCUUGUAUUUUGAUGCCUUCCAAAUGUUGCUUAACUUAAGAUUAAAUCUAAACUAUCAAGAGAUUGGGUUGGUUAAAUAAUGAAGACUGGGGUGAAGACUUGAGCAUUUCUGCAGGGAACAGUUGGUUGGGAAAGCAGACCUGCGGGGGAGUAACACUGAGUGGCCCUAGGGCUGUCUGAGGAGUUCUCCCCUUGAAAGCACUUUAGGUUUUCACUCUUCAUUCAGAGAACAAAGAGUUCAGAGUGUGGUCAGGUGCUAUCCUACUAGAUAGCAUACAAUAGCCAACUGGACAAAUGGGGGUAGGUAAUGCCCAGGGUCUCAACCUCACCGACCCUGCCAGAGCCACCCAACCCAAGAUCUCAUGGCUUAUUUUCCUUUCAUCUUUAUAAUGUGGUUCCUUAUAAACUUUAACUUG